AAGAUAAAAAAAAUUAUGAAUCAAUUAUGUCGUCUCUGUAGUCCUCCACGCCAUCGUCAUCUAUGGCGAUCUCCCUCAGCCCCACUGCCGUCAUCUCUGGCGAUUUCCCUCAGCCCCGCCGUCAUCAGUUCCACCGUCAAAUUUUGAGGAGAGAAAAGAACCCUAAAUCACGACAAAUCUAUGGAGCGCGACGAAGAUGGAGAUGUGCAAUAACAGAGGAGGCGAAGAAACACUAAUCGGAGGCCUAUUAUAAGCGGCGAGCUUCUCGACAUUGAAUCUUACUCGAUGCUUUAUAAAGGAUGAGCAAAGAUCAUGUGCCUACUCUUCAUCGCAAGCCAAUACGGAGGAAACCAUAUGCUGCAGCUUGAAGCAUUGAGGAUGGCUCACGAUGAGAUCAAAAAGGGAGAGAACACACAGUUGUUCAGAGAUCUGGUUAAUAGGAUCAACGGGAGCCUUGACAAGACGAUUCUAGCUGGGGCUACACUCAGAGUGGGAUACAGUUUGAUUGGAGAACUCGGGAAAAAAUCUGCAUUGGUGUUGCGAAAGGCCUUGCCUUUCUUCACGAAGAAGUAAGGCUGCACAUUAUCCACAGAGAUAUCAAGGCAAGCAACAUUCUUCACCGUCGUGAUAGCGACGAAGGUGUAGACAGCGUCACAACUGGUGGACGUAAGAAGAAAAGACAGACAGCUAUUCCUGUCUCUCUGGCACCUGCGCAAAGCCGAUAUCAUCUCAGGAGACAUAGAAAUGUAGGAACAGAAGAGGAUAAAGCACAAGAAUCAACCGGUGCAAUGGAAAAACAAGAGUGUGUCAAUGGUGAUGAUAUCAGAACAGUGCAAGAAGCAACAAAAACACCCGUUUACCCACUGAAUAUCAAUAUCUCCUUGAAAGAGCUUGGGAACUUUAUGAGGGGAAUGAGCUCGCGGAUCUCGUCGACACAGGGCUAAACGGAGUCUUUGACGCAGGGGAAGCUUGCCGGUACCUAAAAAUUGGUCUCCUGUGCACGCAAGACAGUCCAAAGCUAAGGCCAACCAUGUCCACGGUGGUGAAGCUGUUGACAUGGGAGAAGGAUAUAAGGAUAUAGACACGAGGAAAAUAACCAGGCCCGGUUUGAUAUCUGAUUUUAUGGACUUGAAACUUUGAAAGUGAGAGGACCAGUGGAGACAAAGCCAGACGAAGUGAACAGAAACAACAACUACACAGACCCUUCUUCUUACAAUGCCUCGUCUAGAUCCGGGACUAGACGUAACUCAAAUGCUUACUCCUCGGGGGCUUCGUCAGCUGCUGCGGUUUCUUCGUUCAGAAGUACCAUUUAGACAAAAGACAAAAAGUGUUUGAUGUUUUCUGUGUCUCUAUCAUCUUCUUGAGUUCUUGGUUUCAAAACAGAGGUUUUCUGUUAGAUUUUGAAUCAAAUAAGAGAAGGAGUUUUGUGCCUCACUCUUGUUAAGAUUGUCUUCAGUUGUAAAAAAAGAUUUGAGUUUUUAUGUAUAUAAGUUUGAAUC
Molecule: long non-coding RNA, 1499 nt
Organism: Raphanus sativus (radish)
Lineage: Eukaryota; Viridiplantae; Streptophyta; Magnoliopsida; Brassicales; Brassicaceae
Exons: 4
Source: RefSeq, a predicted model, not a curated record